RNAcentral lists this ribosomal RNA (253 nucleotides) under uncultured bacterium. RNAcentral's name for it is "partial 16S ribosomal RNA". It matches the Rfam family "Bacterial small subunit ribosomal RNA", at positions 524 to 776 of the family's 1533-position model. The record is from RNAcentral.
UACGGGGGGGGCAAGCGUUGUUCGGAAUUACUGGGCGUAAAGGGCUCGUAGGCGGCCAACUAAGUCAGACGUGAAAUCCCUCGGCUUAACCGGGGAACUGCGUCUGAUACUGGCAGGCUUGAAUCCGGGAGAGGGAUGUGGAAUUCCAGGUGUAGCGGUGAAAUGCGUAGAUAUCUGGAGGAACACCGGUGGCGAAGGCGGCAUCCUGGACCGGUAUUGACGCUGAGGCGCGAAAGCCAGGGGAGCAAACGGG